This is a non-coding RNA of Rattus norvegicus (Norway rat), 69 nucleotides long. Lineage: Eukaryota; Metazoa; Chordata; Mammalia; Rodentia; Muridae. The record is from Rfam.
GGGGAUUUAGCUUAGCGGUAGAGCGCUUGCCUAGCAAGCGCAAGGCCCUGGGUUCGAUCCCCAGCUCCG